AAACCUUUCUUGUGAAAUGGUAGUCAUCCAUACAAGACUUAAGAUGAAGUGCAAACAGCAGAAUCUGAUAAAUGCUUCUAAACCUAACUAUCCAGUGUUUGUGGACUGUUGUUUGUUUAUUCAUUGUUUUUCUUUUGGCCAUUGUGUUGCCUGUUUUUCUUCCACUUUUUGUUAGUGAUUGUCUCCCUUUUUUUUACAAAAAUAAAGAAAAUCAAACAAGUUUAAAAAGCAGAUAGUUUAAUCACUUUGAACAUACACUAGCACUAGUAAAGUGUAAACAAAAUAUAACAUACUGAUUUCAAACAAUUAUACUAUAAAAUAUACUCUCAUUGACUCACUGACAUAUAUUUGUUUGUUGUGGUGUAUUGUAUUUGGUAAGAAUUUUUGCUCUUGUAAUUUACAUUAAUUAAUCUAUUUAAUUUGAUUGCUAUAACUUGAUGAAGUUGAGAAAUAACAUAAGAUAUAAUAUUUUAUACCGUAUGGUCCUAUUUCUAGGUAAUCAUAGGUAAAGGAUCAUGUAGAUUAUUUUUCAUGUUAAAAAAGCCUCGAUGAAAUUUAAUAAUUUUUGAAAAGCAAAUUAAAUUAUUGUUUAGUAAUAUAAAAAAGAAAAACAGUGUUUUUUAAAACCAGUCCAAUAUUUCAUCUACUUAAUAAUUUUUUGUACUUAUUAUCACAAAACGAUUUUAAAUGAAUUAAGGAAAUACAAAACUUUGAUUAAGGACUGAUAGAAGCUAUAAGAAAAGACAAAACUUGAAAACUUACAAUUCAGCAAUGUUGUUUUGAAGAAAAGUAAAAAUACCCACAACAAUACCAAGUUGUUUUUUUAACAAUGUCUACAUUCAUUUAUUUUUAGGCAAAAAUUCAACAAUAACAAA
Mytilus californianus (California mussel) is the source of this 875-nucleotide long non-coding RNA. RefSeq lists it as uncharacterized. NCBI's taxonomy places the organism in Eukaryota, Metazoa, Mollusca, Bivalvia, Mytilida, Mytilidae. The transcript has 2 exons. The record is from RefSeq and is a predicted model, not a curated record.